CACGAAGGAACGCAGACUAAGAGCGCCGUGUCCUGUGGCAACGUCUGCAUGACCCUCAUCCUGGGGC
This 67-nucleotide small RNA is filed under the name Cytobacillus pseudoceanisediminis. Its description in RNAcentral is "Bacillaceae-1 RNA". It matches the Rfam family "Bacillaceae-1 RNA". The record is from RNAcentral. Lineage: Bacteria; Bacillati; Bacillota; Bacilli; Caryophanales; Bacillaceae.